RNAcentral lists this non-coding RNA (29 nucleotides) under Bombyx mori (domestic silkworm). The record is from RNAcentral. Lineage: Eukaryota; Metazoa; Arthropoda; Insecta; Lepidoptera; Bombycidae.
AAAAGUCUGAGCACGAGAGCUGGUACUGU